CGUCCUACGGGAGGCAGCAGUGAGGAAUAUUGGUCAAUGGACGCAAGUCUGAACCAGCCAUGCCGCGUGCAGGAUGACGGCUCUAUGAGUUGUAAACUGCUUUUGUACGAGGGUAAACCCCGAUACGUGUAUCGGGUUGAAAGUAUCGUACGACUAAGGAUCGGCUAACUCCGUGCCAGCAGCCGCGGUAAUACGGAGGCUCCGAGCGUUAUCCGGAUUUAUUGGGUUUACAGGGUGCGUAGGCGGUUUGAUAAGUUAGAGUU
RNAcentral lists this ribosomal RNA (263 nucleotides) under uncultured bacterium. RNAcentral's name for it is "partial 16S ribosomal RNA". It matches the Rfam family "Bacterial small subunit ribosomal RNA", at positions 335 to 595 of the family's 1533-position model. The record is from RNAcentral.